GAUUCUUUCUUGGUUGAUUAAUUGAUUGGUGCAUUGCUUUAGUUAGAUUUUUAGUUAGUUUACGACUGCAUCAAAUUUUUAGCACUAUUAUCAGGGACUAAAAUAUUAGUAAAAAUUUAUUUCUAUUAAUUUAGCCAUUUUUUAUUUUGUUUUUUGUUUUUAAUUUAAUUGUCACAUUUUAAUUUUCUUUUGUUUGAUUCUGACAGGUUG
RNAcentral lists this long non-coding RNA (210 nucleotides) under Gossypium raimondii (Peruvian cotton). RNAcentral describes it as "long non-coding RNA (GRAI_LNC000786)". Lineage: Eukaryota; Viridiplantae; Streptophyta; Magnoliopsida; Malvales; Malvaceae. The record is from RNAcentral.